Molecule: ribosomal RNA, 157 nt
Filed under: Cladonia compressa
Lineage: Eukaryota; Fungi; Ascomycota; Lecanoromycetes; Lecanorales; Cladoniaceae
Description: 5.8S ribosomal RNA
Rfam family: 5.8S ribosomal RNA
About the family: 5.8S ribosomal RNA (5.8S rRNA) is a component of the large subunit of the eukaryotic ribosome. It is transcribed by RNA polymerase I as part of the 45S precursor that also contains 18S and 28S rRNA. Functionally, it is thought that 5.8S rRNA may be involved in ribosome translocation.
Source: RNAcentral
AACUUUCAACAACGGAUCUCUCGGUUCUGGCAUCGAUGAAGAACGCAGCGAAAUGCGAUAAGUAAUGUGAAUUGCAGAAUUUAGUGAAUCAUCGAAUCUUUGAACGCACAUUGCGCCCCUCGGUAUUCCGGGGGGCAUGCCUGUUCGAGCGUCAUUA